This 472-nucleotide ribosomal RNA is filed under the name uncultured bacterium. RNAcentral describes it as "bacterial SSU rRNA". It matches the Rfam family "Bacterial small subunit ribosomal RNA", at positions 8 to 526 of the family's 1533-position model. The record is from RNAcentral.
AGGGUUCGAUUCUGGCUCAGAACGAACGCUGGCGGCAGGCCUUAUACAUGCAAGUCGAGCGCAUCCUUUGGGAUGAGCGGCGGACGGGUGAGUAACGCGUGGGAAUGUGCCCUUCUCUACGGAAUAGCCACUGGGAACGGUGAGUAAUACCGUAUACGCCCUUAGGGGGAAAGAUUUAUCGGAGAAGGAUCAGCCCGCGUUAGAUUAGGUAGUUGGUGGGGUAACGGCCUACCAAGCCUACGAUCUAUAGCUGGUUUUAGAGGAUGAUCAGCCACACUGGGACUGAGACACGGCCCAGACUCCUACGGGAGGCAGCAGUAGGGAAUCUUGGACAAUGGGGGCAACCCUGAUCCAGCCAUGCCGCGUGAGUGAAGAAGGCCCUAGGGUCGUAAAGCUCUUUCGCCUGUGAUGAUAAUGACAGUAGCAGGUAAAGAAACCCCGGCUAACUCCGUGCCAGCCGCCGCGGUAAUAC